RNAcentral lists this ribosomal RNA (413 nucleotides) under uncultured eukaryote. RNAcentral describes it as "SSU rRNA". It matches the Rfam family "Eukaryotic small subunit ribosomal RNA", at positions 592 to 1013 of the family's 1831-position model. The record is from RNAcentral.
CAAUAGCGUAUAUUAAAGUUGUUGCAGUUAAAAGCUCGUAGUUGGAUUUCGGAGUGGGCCAGUUGGUCCGCCGCAAGGUGUGUUACUGACUGGUUUGCUCUUCUUCGCAAAGACUGCGUGUGCUCUUGAGUGAGUGUGCGUAGAAUUUACGACGUUUACUUUGAAAAAUUAGAGUGUUCAAAGCAGGCUAUUGCUUGAAUACAUGAGCAUGGAAUAAUGGAAUAGGACUUUGGUCCCAUUUUGUUGGUUUCUAGGGCCGAAGUAAUGAUUAAGAGGGACAAUUGGGGCAUCCGUAUUUCGUUGUCAGAGGUGAAAUUCUUGGAUUUACGAAAGACGAACAUCUGCAGAAGCUACAUUGCAAGGUGUUUUUCAUUAAUCAAGAACGAAAGUUAGAGGAUCGAAGACGAUUAGAU